This 99-nucleotide small RNA is filed under the name Gopherus agassizii (Agassiz's desert tortoise). Its description in RNAcentral is "TUC338 (ENSGAGG00000003566.1)". The record is from RNAcentral. Lineage: Eukaryota; Metazoa; Chordata; Testudines; Testudinidae.
UAUCUUCAGAACUGGUAUAGCAUGGGCAGUAGCAGUGCAAGCUACCCUGCGUUGCCCAUCAAGGGGCAGCCCUGACCUGGAGGACCAUGUUUAGGGCUG